Molecule: long non-coding RNA, 246 nt
Organism: Vicia villosa (hairy vetch)
Lineage: Eukaryota; Viridiplantae; Streptophyta; Magnoliopsida; Fabales; Fabaceae
Exons: 3
Source: RefSeq, a predicted model, not a curated record
AGAUGAAUAUUGGAGCUAAGUCACCAUUGGUUGAGAAUUUUAAGAAGCCUCAAGGAACUUUAGCAAAUCCUCUUGAGACUCUGAAGCAUAAGUUUAUAUAUACGGAUCAUGGAGUAUAUUAUGCUGGUUAUCUUGUGGUGAAUUAUCAUAAAUUAGGCAUAUGUUCUGGUGAAUUAUCUUAUUAACUUCCUUGAUUAUACAAUUUCAUAUCUUUUUGGUGGUUAUCUUUUGCUGACUGGAUGCAGA